GGAAGAGCAUCGUCUCCCGGUGGGGCGCCCGGACUUCAAAUCCGGUGGAACGCACGAAGGUGUGUUCGGUAGGUUCGACUCCUACCUCUUUCGCCA
This 96-nucleotide transfer RNA is filed under the name Gammaproteobacteria bacterium. RNAcentral describes it as "tRNA-Sec". It matches the Rfam family "Selenocysteine transfer RNA". The record is from RNAcentral. Lineage: Bacteria; Pseudomonadati; Pseudomonadota; Gammaproteobacteria. RNAcentral also lists the same sequence under 1 other name.